CCUGUGGAGAAUUAUAUCAAACGAAAGUAGUAUUCAUAUACAAAAUCGGAUUCGAUGAAACAGGAA
This 66-nucleotide non-coding RNA is filed under the name unclassified sequences. The record is from Rfam.